GUCGAGAAUCUUUCACAAUGGGGGCAACCCUGAUGGAGCGACGCCGCGUGGAGGAUAAGGUCUUCGGAUUGUAAACUCCUGUCAUGCGUGAACAAGGUUGCUUGGUUAAUACCUGGGCAAAUUGAUGGUAACGCAAGAGGAAGAGACGGCUAACUCUGUGCCAGCAGCCGCGGUAAUACAGAGGUCUCAAGCGUUGUUCGGAAUCACUGGGCGUAAAGGGUGCGUAGGUGGCGUGGUAAGUAAGAUGUGAAAGCCCGGGGCUCAACCUCGGAACUGCAUCCGAUACUGCCAUGCUAGAGUACUGGAGAGGUGACUAGAAUUCUCGGUGUAGCAGUGAAAUGCGUAGAUAUCGAGAGGAAUACCAAAGGCGUAGGCAGGUCACUGGACAGUUACUGACACUGAGGCACGAAGGCCAGGGGAGCGAACGGGAUUAGAUACCCGGGUAGUCC
RNAcentral lists this ribosomal RNA (449 nucleotides) under uncultured bacterium. RNAcentral's name for it is "partial 16S ribosomal RNA". It matches the Rfam family "Bacterial small subunit ribosomal RNA", at positions 354 to 796 of the family's 1533-position model. The record is from RNAcentral.